Molecule: transfer RNA, 48 nt
Filed under: Castanoclobos julaceus
Lineage: Eukaryota; Viridiplantae; Streptophyta; Jungermanniopsida; Jungermanniales; Pseudolepicoleaceae
Description: partial tRNA-Phe
Rfam family: tRNA
About the family: Transfer RNA (tRNA) molecules are approximately 80 nucleotides in length.
Source: RNAcentral
GCCGGAAUAGCUCAGUCGGUAGAGCAGAGGACUGAAAAUCCUCGUGCA